GGGGACCCCCUAUGGAUUCCCAUGGAUACUAGUAGGCUGGUAAAAGAGGAAAUUUGUUGUCUGAUUACUGAAGUGCAAAAGUAUGACAUGUGCUAUGUUACAAGUGUAUAUGAUUUUAUGAUGGUUAUAAUGCUAUUGUUUUCAUAUCUUAUUUUCACAAAUCUCACCGAGGUAAGUAGACAGUAAAGGUUUUUAUUAUUAAUAAAUGAGUUUGUCAUAAAUUAUGCUCCAUUGGUCGUUUUUGUUUUCUACCAACCUUUACUUCUAUGACAGUGAGAUAGUGUGAUGUCUUUACUAGGCUAGUGU
Molecule: long non-coding RNA, 306 nt
Filed under: Carica papaya (papaya)
Lineage: Eukaryota; Viridiplantae; Streptophyta; Magnoliopsida; Brassicales; Caricaceae
Description: long non-coding RNA (CPAP_LNC006245)
Source: RNAcentral